Molecule: ribosomal RNA, 439 nt
Filed under: uncultured bacterium
Lineage: Bacteria
Description: partial 16S ribosomal RNA
Rfam family: Bacterial small subunit ribosomal RNA
Source: RNAcentral
CUACGGGAUGCUGCAGUGGGGAAUCUUAGACAAUGGGGGAAACCCUGAUCUAGCCAUGCCGCGUGAUCGAUGAAGGCCUUAGGGUUGUAAAGAUCUUUCAGGUGGGAAGAUAAUGACUGUACCACCAGAAGAAGCCCCGGCUAACUCCGUGCCAGCAGCCGCGGUAAUACGGAGGGGGCUAGCGUUAUUCGGAAUUACUGGGCGUAAAGCGCACGUAGGCGGACCAGAAAGUCAGAGGUGAAAGCCCGGGGCUCAACCCCGGAACGGCCUUUGAAACUCCUGGUCUUGAGGUCGAGAGAGGUGGGUGGAAUUCCGAGUGUAGAGGUGAAAUUCGUAGAUAUUCGGAGGAACACCAGUGGCGAAGGCGGCUCACUGGCUCGAUACUGACGCUGAGGUGCGAAAGCGUGGGGAGCAAACAGGAUUAGAUACCCCGGUAGUC